AUCUUGAUUUGCAGAGAUGGCUACAUCCCUCUCAGCAGUUUCAGAGAUAUGCUUUGGAAAAAACGCUUCAGACCAGACCUUUCCCCUCCCUUCACCAUGAUUUCUGGGAAAUUGUUCUUCAUACUGCAUAUUUGUGGAUACUCAGACAAAAUCACUUGCCAUCUGCUGUUGUGCAGAAGAGCUGCUGUGACAGAUCUCAGAGAUGACCUUGUCUCCCCCACACCAACUUUGCUGCAGCUUCAAGCUGUGUCACAGCUAAAGGUGGACUUGGACAUCACAGGUGACCACUGGGAUGGCUUUUUUCAAGAAAAACCCUGA
RNAcentral lists this long non-coding RNA (318 nucleotides) under Cyanistes caeruleus (blue tit). RNAcentral's name for it is "lncRNA (ENSCCEG00000021948.1)". The record is from RNAcentral. Lineage: Eukaryota; Metazoa; Chordata; Aves; Passeriformes; Paridae.